GACAGCUUGGCCGAGUGGUUAAGGCGAUAGACUAGAAAUCUAUUGGGGUAACCCGCGUGAGUUCAAAUCUCACAGCAGUCG
This is a transfer RNA of Phytophthora infestans T30-4, 81 nucleotides long. It matches the Rfam family "tRNA". From Rfam's summary of the family: Transfer RNA (tRNA) molecules are approximately 80 nucleotides in length. Their secondary structure includes four short double-helical elements and three loops (D, anti-codon, and T loops). Lineage: Eukaryota; Oomycota; Peronosporomycetes; Peronosporales; Peronosporaceae. The record is from Rfam.